UCUAUCUGAAAAACCUAGAAGCCACAAGAAGAAGUGCUCUGUACUUUAUUAUGCACAAACAUAUAAGCACCGAUAACCUACAUAUAGACUGAGAAGAUUUCACGGCAUUGCAAGAUCAUGCGAACUUCUGGUCUCAAUGCACGCGUUCUGAAGGAGAACCCAGCAGCAGGUGGAAAAACGAGUGCAGAUGUGCAGGAGCAGGAUAAACGGCUGCUUCAGAAAAGUGGGAAUGAAUCAGUUCAGAAGGUCAAAGGAGAUGAAGACAUGUCUAGGCACAGAACUGAAAGUUUCCUUGGAAAACGUCCUAAUAUGAAAAAAGAAAACAGGGAUUCUGCUGACUUGAAGGAUGCAGAGACUCGGACGCAUCAGGAUAUUUUACUGAACGGGAAAAAAUGAUCAUUUAUAGCUGCAUUUGUGUAAAAGAUGGAAAACAAAACAAAUCCCACAAAAAUGAUAAAAUAUUUAUAAAGUUAGUUAAGCUGGGCUUUCCAUAACACAAAGUGUUUUGAGUCCCAGUAAUACAAAUGAUUUAAUCUGGUCACUACGAGUAUUUCCCCCAGAUCUUAUGCUGCUAUUUGAAUAUGCUGCUCAAUAUGCUGCUAUUGUUUUGCACUACAAAACAAUAUAAAAGUUAUACGUGAAAAUUUGAUAAGUUCUGCUGAUAGUUUCUUCCAUUCGGAUCUGUUAUUUCAUCCAUUAUUUUUUUUUUUCUUACCAUUCUUACUCCUAGCUGUCCCCAAGUUUAUAUUAACCACUGCUGAUCUGUUGAUUUCCAAUCUUUUCAUGUAAGAUUAUCCGUUCAUUCUCUGAUACAACCUUGCCUUUAAAAACUGUGCAGUAUGCUUAAUAUAUAAAUUAAGCAUAUUACUGUUAAUAAUAUUCAAUGGCAAUUUUAUUUCUUAUGGUGCAUAAUACAGUUGUAUAUGCUAUAAUUGGGUGGGAGGGGGGAGCUGGGUAAGUUUAUUAUUUUCUUUUUCUUUCCUCUUAUUUUUUUAGAACAGAGUUUGGUGUUUAGCCUCUGUUUUCCUACAUUUCACUUUUGCACAUAAAAAGUUAGUUCUUACUGUAUGUAAAUGUGCAAAAUGUUUACUUAAGGCACUGUGCAGCUCAGCCAGCUGUAUCAGUGUUUAUCCUGUACUGUAACCUUGGGCUGCUAGUGGUUGGAAUUACCACUUUUGUAUUUUUUUCUGAUUUUAUGAAUAAAAUUAUGUGAUUUAA
Long non-coding RNA from Ictalurus furcatus (blue catfish), 1218 nucleotides. RefSeq lists it as uncharacterized. The record is from RefSeq and is a predicted model, not a curated record. The transcript is spliced from 3 exons. NCBI's taxonomy places the organism in Eukaryota, Metazoa, Chordata, Actinopteri, Siluriformes, Ictaluridae.